GGCGGCGGCGGUAACAGCCACGGCGGAGGCGACGGCGGUAACGGCCGCCGCAAUGGCAAUGGCAACGGAGGAGGAGGAGGUGGCGGUGGCAACGGUACCGGCGGCGGCGGCGACGACGACGACGAAGAGGAGCGCAAGCUGUCGAUCGUUCAGGAGCUGCCGGAGCUCACGGACACCGCCAGUCCGCCGCUGAGCUUGGCGUGCCUGUGCGAGAGGAAUCAGGGCGAGCCGCGCCGUCGCGACUCUUCUCGCCAUCAGCCGAACGGAUCAACGCGCGACGAUCGCAACGGACCGAUCAGCAGCAUCUCCGAGAAGGUGGAGGCGCGCGCGAGGGAAACGGAACCCUCGUGCCCGAACGAUGAGCAGAUUCUGCGUUACUGCGACUCGCCGACCUUCUCCGAGUUCUCCUCGUAGUGUUCAUCCCGGGGAGUCGCGACGGCCUCCCGUCGGCGUCCACCUUGGAGCUUGCGGCCCAACGAGAUAAGAGAGAAAGACCUUCGUCCGUUUUCCCCGCACUCUCUCAACGUCAGCGUUUUUCUAACAGCCGGACGUUUUGUACCUUCCCGCGAGGUGUGAGUGACUGAGUGAGAAACCUUCAACCCUCCGCACUCGCGUCCCCCCGCGUCCCGCCGCGCGGCUCUGCGUAAUGCCGUGCGUGCGUGCGACGAUAUCACGUCGAGAGAGAUACGCCCGGGCGGCCCCGGGGCGGAAUUUCGAUUCUACGUUGACCUCACGAAUCCCGUGGAUUUUCGAGGACUAAUGGAAAAUCCCGAGGCGCAGCGCUGUGUAGGCUAUUGUUUUGUCAAGCCACGGCUGAUUAGUCGCCGGUUGUUUGCCGGAGAAUGGGGGGACUUGUUUGAGAUUUAUUUAAUACUCUGAUCAUCUCUAUGAUCUACAUUGAAUCUCUCUUCACUUUAAUGCUUAAACGGAAGCACUCGGGGGAGUGUUCGCUUGAGAAUUAAUUAUGUGGCGUCGAGAUAGCACAAUAGCCUACAUGGUUAUAGUAUUUUAUCUCGAGGUUCUCUCCUUCGUGCUUGACACUGUUUACAAGGAUUAAUGUAGAAUUAAAAUUUCGACAGAUUUCGGUGUUGUAAUUUUUAAUUAAAUUUCAAAUCAAAAGAGACCUAAUCUAAAUUAAAGGAAAUCUAAAUCAGAGAGAGAGAGAGAGAGAGAGAGAAGUGUGUGUGCUGAGAGAAAUUAACUGUAUAAUACGAAAUAUCUCCGAAUCGUCUUGUUUUCUUUUGGUAUUUAGUCCUUUAACAAAAUCCGAGAAAAUGAAGUAAAAUAUUUAGACGAAAACUUUUAAAUCCUCGUCUAAAGUAAAUUUUCAUUUUACUUUCUUGUCAAAACUCUUCGAACUGAACUCGCUAACUUUCAGAAAUUACCUUGAAAUUUGUACAAAGUGGUACGAGUUUUUCUUUUGAUUUUUCGAGAAUUGGCUAAUUAGGAUAAAUGCGAAAAAGGAAAAAGGAAUUAAUUAUCUGGGAAAUCCUUCAUUACCGAACUUCCAAAUUACAUUUCGUAACAACAACACAUCUUUGAUAACGUUAUUAAAAUAAUCCAUUAAAACAUUUGGUAAAUUUUAAGUAACACAAGUAUAAUAUCGACAAAGUCGUUAAUAUUAAUGAAAUAAUCUUCUCGAGUGUGCACGGGCAACUAACGCGACAUGCGGAAAUAAAACUCGACGGCCGCGACGCGCCAGGUCGUCCGAACAAAAAUGAUUGUUUCGCAGACUACGAUUUUAUAUAGUUGUUCAUAAUUGAAACCAUCGGCUUUGUCGGUUAACGCGAGAAUGCUCCCACUGGUAUUCAGAAAGUUUCACCGUCACGAGUGAGUUUUUGAUCCAUUCAUCUCUCUCACGCGAGCUGCAAUAUAAAAGAACUUUUUCCUACACGCACACACAAAACACACACACAUACCAAUAACGCGAUAGCUUUUGUGUUAAUUUCACAUCAAUAGAACUAAAUUAAUAUUUCAGACAUUCUGAUAUGCAAACAAUGGACGCAAAGUACAAUAAUCGCGUUUAAUUUAUCGAUGAUUGUACUUUUUACACGAAUAUUCAUUUUCCAAGUAAUCGGUCGAUAUAUUUUUCGCGAUUGUUUGUCUGUCAGAUUCAUUAGCCAUUCAUUUAGCAGCGAUUUAGAAUGAAAGACAGCUCUGGAGUCGAUUUUAUUCUCACCUGUACGCUCUAUACAAAUUUUGCUAUAUUACGAUAUUAAAGAUUUGACGUUUUCAAUUGUUUUUUUUUUCCCGGAAAUAAACAACAAAGUCUUUCGUUUGACUCUUAGAAUACAAUUUUCAUAAUUAAUUUCGUUCAAUUUUAAAAUUGUUGUUACUACCACCAGCAUGUUCUACAAAUCUCGCCCAUUGAUAUUGGAACACUGUGUACAUACUUUAGUAAAUAUGAAAACGGAUAUAAAUGUGUUAGAGAAUAUACGCGGAGAUCCUAAAAAAAUCGAUAAUCAAAUUAACCGAGUAAUUUCGCAUUCUAUCGUUCGGUCGCGGAUGCGAUUGUUAGUAUUAGCGAGUAAUCUCAGUCGUAGUUGGCGUGAUAGACGAAAAUACUACUAAAUAAUAGUAAAGCGAUUACGUAGGAAUGCCAGUUGCCAAAAAUAUUCAAAGCAGGGAUUUGGUCGCGGUGCUCCCCAGUCGUCCUCAAAGAUUUAUCUCUACGUCGUCGUGGUUUUUGUCUUUCAUUUAAAUUCAAAGCGAUAAUUCGGCCGAGCCCCAUAAACGUGGAAGCCGCGUAAAGUUGAAGUUAAAAUGACGAAGGAAGUACAAAUCAACGACUAACUUACCACACUCUGUCCUUAUUCUCAUCCUCAAUACCCAGAAACUUUUGCAUCACGUAACUUGAAGUGCCACAAAUAAACCAGUAUCGAGUCAACCACGAUAGAUCCUCCCCCCCCCCGAAAAACGAACGCGAAAAGUUAAGAAACACGGCUCGAACUCAAUUCGCAAUAUGUAUGCAUACGCUAAAAUUGAGACAACGACGAAUCGACACGCGCGAGCGCAAUCGCUACAUCGAGUACGCCUAAUGAUCAUUAAUUAUAUCGAGUCAGGCGAAAAAGUGUCAGACUCGGUUUCUCAGUCCAAAUUGACUUUAUCGUACACCCCGCAGAAAGAGAGAUUACUCGUCGAUCGGGUAAAUUUGCCGACAUAAACAUUGACUUGGAGACAACAACGGUCAUCACUCGGUUGACGUGAAUAAUUCACUUCCAUCGAAUAUGAUAAAAUCGAAUCGUUCGCUAAGAGGAAUCGAGUUGCACUUUCCGACUGACUCAAAUACUACUUUUACUGUGUUUCGCGAAAAAAAAGAAGAGAAAAGAAGAAGAAGAAGAAGAAGAAAGAGAGAGAUCGCGCACCGACCCCGUAACAUUCCUGUACAAAAAACAAGCCAAAAUCAAAGCGAUUUUACUUGCAGCACGAUAAGAAUUGCUAGGUAAGGAAAACUCGACGAAACGUUUCGGCGGUAGUUACUGUACUUAAUGUUGUUAUAGCCAUCGCGUUUGUGGCGCGAAUCCACAAACUCGUGUUGUAGAGAGCUGUUAUUAUCGUUUCCGGAGGAUACCGAAGGAGGCGAAGGUCUCACUGAGGCGAUUUACGUGUGGCUACGUCGCGCAUUGUACAUACGAUAUAUGCCUAAGACACAUAGUUAUUAUUAUUUAUUUAUCUCGUUGUCUCUCGGUGAUUUUACUAGUGUAUUAUUUGGAACGAAUGUUACAGUAUAGGGAAGAAAAAAAUAAAAAAGAAACAUACGUUAAGAAACUUGCGCCGCCGAGAGGAAGCUCGAGUACGGCCCCGUUGGAGAAGAAAAGAACUUCUUUUUAACUCAGCGGAGACUUAAAUUUCUCUUGUUUGGCUCCUUGGUAGAAGUAUACAAAAUUGCAAAGGUGAAUGCACGCUGAGUGACAUCGUCUUUGUCGGAAACUUUAGCAAGUAGUCUGAACUUUUAAUAUCAAGAGAAGGUGCGAUAAAAUAUUUGACUUUUUGUGGGAUGCGUUCAACCUUCUGUUUGAGUUUUAUACUAUUUAGGAAGCGUCGAGUGUUUCUACUUCUGCUUCACUAAAAUUAAGAGAAAAGAGAAGAGAGAGAGAGAGAGAGAGAGAGAAAGAUAUAUAUAUAUAUCUUAUUGAUUAAUUUACUUAGUGAGACAUUCAAUGAUCAAGAGUCUAUAAAUGUACAUAAAAUUACAACUGAGCGAUCGCGGAACAUCUUGCUUCGCCAAAGCGAGGUGCUCCUUAAUUAAUAAUUGUACAAAGUUUAUGGAACGUUGAAAUAUGUAAAAGGACGAGGCGUGCAUGUAUUAAAUAGCUGUUAUACGUGUGUACUUAUGUGCCUAGCAUUUCGUGAGCUAACUUUUCGUAACGGUGUAUCGAUGUUCUCGUGAUUAAGUCGAGCAAUGAUGAAAAGACGCGCAGGCUUAGAGAAAACGAAAAAACGCGACUCCGCUCUCCUCAGUAUGCGAGCCAACUCUCUGUCGCGUAUGAAACUGUAAGAUUUUGAUCAAAGAGUUAAUUUACGGUUCCAGCUAACUUCCGAGCCUGCAGCUCAUAAAUCUCACUUUGGCUUUACAAGUACAAAUUUCAUCGUUAUCGCGAUUUAUCGCAGCGUAUAUUGAAUUCUUCGCUCUCGCCCAUUUAUAUUCGUAUACCGUAAACGAGAAAUCACUUACGAAUGAGGAAUGAUAUUGUCGUCGAGCAACAUUGUUACUCGACUUAACGCAACACCGAGUAGUAGGGUGCACGGACGAUUGUUGACAGUAUUGUUUACCGGACAUGCGACGUAAUCGUAUGUACACCGAAACUAUCGGCGCGCGCAAGGAGGCUUGAAUAAUUUCAUAAAUAUACAACUGCCUGCGAUAAUAAACCGACUAACGAACGAAACACCGACGAAACUCUGUACAUAUAUGCGGCUACUAGUCUCUAAGCUCGCCCGCGGACGAGAUCCUUCCCUGCGCGGCUCUAACAAUAACGUCUCGUUAA
Harpegnathos saltator (Jerdon's jumping ant) is the source of this 4985-nucleotide long non-coding RNA. RefSeq lists it as uncharacterized. The record is from RefSeq and is a predicted model, not a curated record. NCBI's taxonomy places the organism in Eukaryota, Metazoa, Arthropoda, Insecta, Hymenoptera, Formicidae. The transcript is spliced from 2 exons.